CAACUGUUUAUAGAUAUUCAUAUAAUAACUAUUAAAUCCAUGAAACUGAACUGAAAUACUUUUAAUAGCAUCAAAUAAUCAAUAUUUAUAGAUUUUUAGCCAUUGAAUUAAGGAAUUGCGAUGUUAGAAUAUAGUGGCCCACCUAAAUUUAAGGAGUAGGUCUUGUGUGCUAUUAGGAGACGGAGGUUUCUGUGCUCCUAAGCCGUUUUCGAUGAUGGGACUUUCAAAUCGACGAUCGGCUCCGUUAGACUUGAUUUAAUGUAUUUGAAAUAUCUAGAAAAUAAAUAUUACGAUAUUCCGAUAUCUUUUACCUAACGAUCGAAAGGGUUCAAAACCAACAAUUUCUAAUAGUUGAUGUAUAUCGUUUGUAAGUUUUACGGUGUAGAAGUAUUUAAAUAAGAUUUUGAUAAAAAAUUCUUUAUACUAUUUACUGCAAGAUUAAUAUCUCUAAUUGAAAAUUUUAGUGCUAUAUUACCACGUUUUGUGAGAUUUUUAUUUUCACUUGUUGAUUUUGAACUCUUUCGAUUGAUAGGUAAAUGAUAUCGAAAAACCACAAAAUGUAUUUUCUAGAUACUUUAAAUGUAUUAGAUCAAGUCUAACGGAGCCGAUCAUUGAUUCGAAAGUCCCAGUAUCGAAAACGACUUAGGAGCACGGAGGUCUUUGUGCUUCUAAUAGCACACAAGACCUACUCCUUCAAUUUAGCAGGUAGUAAAAUAGUAUAGCCUAAAAGAUAGAAAUGAUUAAAAAAAAAUCUAUAAUGGUACAUAAAUUUGAUAGUAUCAAAUAUAGGGAUGCAAACGGGGCGGAUUUGGAGGCUGGAGCCCCGCCCUGCCUCCUGCCUCGACUGCCAAAAUUCCGUCCCGAAUCCGUAACGGGUUAAAAAAUAUAUCUCAUAAUCCAUCUCGCCUCAUAACCCACCUUCCGUCGGUGCUCCGAAUUUACUCGACCAAUUAAUACAUAUUUAAAAAAAUAAUAUUAUUAAUAUUUUAUGAAAUAUAAAUUAAUAAAUUUUUAAUAAUAAUGAAUAAUAUAACUAAGUUAUAUAAAAAAUUAACAACCUCAAUUAUAAAAAUAAAAAAUAUUAAUUACAAUUCGAAGCAAAAUUCAAAAGUUUACAUAAAAAAUGAGAGUACCAACUUAUUUGUAUUUUAGACUUUUUUAUAAAUAUAUUAUUUUUUUAAGGAUAUUUUCUUACAAUAUAAACAAUUUUUAAGGCGAAUUCGGAGCGGGUCAAAAUUUUUUCCGUUUCCUGUCCUGAAUUCGUCUCGGAUCAUAAAAGCUAUUCUGUUUUCUGUCUCGAAUAUAUUUAUUUCUUCUCGUUUACUGCCCUAUUCGGAGUGGAUUGGUGCGGGAGCUCCACCAAUCUGGAUCCGAUUGCAUCUCUAAUCAAAUACUUAGAUGAUACUAAAAGUAGAGUAGAGCUACUAUACUAUAAUGCUUCCGAUUUUUUGGCCCUUAGAUCAACUCCUUUGAUCAUUUCUAAUCUUUGGAUUAAUACUAUUACCCUGUGGGGACCACUCAACCCUAGAAGUACUACUCAACCUUGGGGGGAUCGCAAAGCAUCAUAUGCUCUAUACUUCUGAUAGCAUAGUAGCUCUACACCUAAUAAAAGUAUAUUAACAAGACUUGUGUAAACUAUUUGAGUAAACUAAUAAUUUAC
Molecule: long non-coding RNA, 1660 nt
Filed under: Ananas comosus (pineapple)
Lineage: Eukaryota; Viridiplantae; Streptophyta; Magnoliopsida; Poales; Bromeliaceae
Description: long non-coding RNA (ACOM_LNC017309)
Source: RNAcentral